This 512-nucleotide ribosomal RNA is filed under the name uncultured Theileria sp. RNAcentral describes it as "SSU rRNA". It matches the Rfam family "Eukaryotic small subunit ribosomal RNA", at positions 558 to 1110 of the family's 1831-position model. Lineage: Eukaryota; Apicomplexa; Aconoidasida; Piroplasmida; Theileriidae. The record is from RNAcentral.
AGUCUGGUGCCAGCAGCCGCGGUAAUUCCAGCUCCAAUAGCGUAUAUUAAAAUUGUUGCAGUUAAAAAGCUCGUAGUUGAAUUUCUGCUGCAUUGUCGAGUCCCUCCGGGGUCUUGGCACGUGGCUUUUUUCGGACGGUUCGCUGUCUGGAUGUUUACUUUGAGAAAAUUAGAGUGCUCAAAGCAGGCUUUUGCCUUGAAUAGUUUAGCAUGGAAUAAUAAAGUAGGACUUUGGUUCUAUUUUGUUGGUUUUAGGUACCAAAGUAAUGGUUAAUAGGAACAGUUGGGGGCAUUCGUAUUUAACUGUCAGAGGUGAAAUUCUUAGAUUUGUUAAAGACGAACUACUGCGAAAGCAUUUGCCAAGGAUGUUUUCAUUAAUCAAGAACGAAAGUUAGGGGAUCGAAGACGAUCAGAUACCGUCGUAGUCCUAACCAUAAACAAUGCCGACUAGAGAUUGGAGGUCGUCAGUUUUUACGACUCCUUCAGCACCUUGAGAGAAAUCAAAGUCUUUGG